AUGGUUCCUAUAAUAUCCCCCAUUUGUGACCAUUCCAGAGAUCAAUUCUUCAUCAGUGCCUCACCAAACAUGGAUGGACGCUCCACCCCUCUGCUCCUACUACUUACCUUGGCCCUUCUCUUUCUUCGCGUCUCCGCUCGCGAAUUCCUCUCGCCGGGCUCCUCUAUGUCCGUAGAGGAUAGCUCCGACGUCCUCCGCUCACCGGAUGGUACUUUCACCUGCGGCUUCAACAACAUUUCUCAAACUGCCUCCAUCUUCUCCAUUUGGUACUCCAACACGGCUGAAAGAACGGUGGUCUGGAGCGCGAAUCAUCUCCACCCCGUUUACUUCAAGCGAUCCCGAGUCACGCUAGAUGCGGAUGGCCGGAUGGCCGUAGAAGACUACGAUGGCCGCCCCGUCUGGGAGAACAAUGUGUCGUCUUCUUCGAGUGCCCAGCAAGCUCAGCUGCUCGACACUGGGAACCUCGUCGUCAAAGGCCAAGGUGAUAUCAUUCUGUGGCAAAGUUUCCAUUCUCCUACCGACACAUUGCUGCCCUAUCAGAACAUUACUAGUGCUGCAAAGUUGGUAUCUGCUAGUAGGCUACUUGUCCCUGGCCGCUACAGCUUCCAUUUUGAUGAUGAACAUAUACUCACACUGUUUGAUGAUGAGAAGGAUAUCUCUUUAAAAUAUUGGCCAAUUCCUAGUAAUGAUAUAUGGACAAAGAAAAGAAAUGCCUUUAGUACUACCGCAAUUGGAGUCCUUGAUAGCUCGGGGUAUUUUCUUGGUAGUGACAACUUAACUCUUAAGGCUGUUGAUUGGGGUCAUGGGGUUAUGAGGAGACUAACGUUGGAUUAUGAUGGCAACCUUAGAUUAUACAGUCUAAAUAAGAUAGAUGGAACAUGGUCGGUCACGUGGAUGGCAUAUCAACAGACCUGCUGUGUUCUUGGUUUGUGUGGCAUUAAUGGAAUAUGUGUGUACACUCCCCAGCCUGCUUGUGCUUGUGCCCCUGGACAUGAGAUAAUCGACCCCAGUGACCGGAGCCAAGGUUGCAGACCAAAAUUUAAUCUCAGUUGUGAUGGACAGGAGAUGUUUCUGAAGCUACCCGCCACCGACUUCCAUGGUAAUGAUCUUAGAUUGAAUACCAUAGUUUCAUUUGAUGAAUGCAAGAAGAUAUGCUUGAAGGACUGCAAUUGCAAAGGUUUUGCAUACUGGCAAGGAACCGGGCUUUGCUAUCCAAAGGGGACCCUUGUUGGGGGUGUAACCGGGCCAAGUAUUGUUGGUGGUUCUAUCCAUCUCAAGAUUCCUAAGACGCUACAGGUCCCAAGGUCCUCAAUUCCUCACUCGCAACCUUUUGGUCCUAAAUAUGUUCCUAAUUGUAGUGUAAAGAGCAAACAUUUCACAGUAAACUUUUGGGAUCAACCUAAAAGCAGUCAAAAUGGAUCACACUCACAUUACCUGUUCUUGGCGUAUGGGUUCUUGUUAGCGAUAUUUUGUGUGGAGUUAAUAUUUGUGGCACUAGGAUGCUGGUUUUUGUUCAUAAGGGAAGGGAAAAAGUUAAUGGGGGUAUGGCCAGCUGAGGUUGGCUAUGAAAUGGUAACCAACCAUUUUCGCAGAUAUACUUACAAGGAGUUGCAGAGAGCAACUCAAAAGUUCAAGGAUCGAAUUGGAUGUGGGGCAUCUGGUCUUGUAUACAAGGGCGUCUUGAAAGACAAGAGGGCCAUAGCAGUGAAAACUUUGGCAGACAUACACCAAGGGGAAGAAGAAUUCCAGCAUGAACUGAGUGUGAUUGGAAGGAUUUACCAUAUGAAUUUGGUAAGGGUUUGGGGAUUCUGUUCUGAUGGACCACACAGAAUAUUGGUUUUGGAGUAUGUUGAGAAUGGUUCUUUGGAUAAAACCUUGUUUAGUAGUGAAAGGUUACUUGGAUGGAGUGAAAGAUUUAAGAUUGCUCUAGGGGUGGCAAGAGGAUUGGCCUAUCUUCAUCAUGAGUGCUUGGAGUGGGUUAUCCACUGUGACAUCAAGCCUGAAAAUAUAUUGUUGGAUGAUAACUUGGAGCCAAAGAUCAGCGACUUUGGCCUUGCAAAACUUGUGAACAGAAGUGGAUCCAAUAAAAAUGUAUCAAGAAUUCAUGGAACUAGAGGUUAUAUUGCUCCCGAGUGGGUUUCUAGCCAGCCAAUAACAUCAAAGGUUGACGUCUACAGCUUCGGAGUGGUUCUCCUAGAACUACUCAUGGGGGCUCGUGUUUCAGACUGGGCAUCAAAUGCCGGCGAGGAAGUGGAAAUGGUCCUUGGAACGGUCGUUAGGAUGCUUACAAAAAAUAUGAUGCUGGAGGGAAGCCAACACUUAUGGCUUCCUGACUUCAUUGACUUGAGGUUGAACGGCCAGUUCGAUAGACUGCAAGCAAGAACGAUGGUCAAGUUGACUGUCUCAUGCCUAGAAGAAGACAGUAGAAAAAGGCCCACCAUGGAAAAUCUUGUACAGAUGCUUGUGUCGGUUGAUGAAGCUAGUGGCACAAUGCAGUAG
Molecule: ribosomal RNA, 2499 nt
Filed under: Triticum aestivum (bread wheat)
Lineage: Eukaryota; Viridiplantae; Streptophyta; Magnoliopsida; Poales; Poaceae
Description: partial small subunit ribosomal RNA
Source: RNAcentral